AGGUACAUAAUUAAACACAUAAUAUUUAAUUUGCAAUUAAAAAUCGCCACCAGGCUGUGCCUA
RNAcentral lists this transfer RNA (63 nucleotides) under Thyropygus sp. DVL-2001. RNAcentral describes it as "tRNA-Ala". The record is from RNAcentral. Lineage: Eukaryota; Metazoa; Arthropoda; Diplopoda; Spirostreptida; Harpagophoridae.